GUGGGGAAUAUUGCGCAAUGGGGGAAACCCUGACGCAGCGACGCCGCGUGAGUGAUGAAGGCCUUCGGGUCGUAAAGCUCUGUUGCAGGGGAAUAAAAAAAUGAAGGUACCCUGUGAGGAAGGAUCGGCUAACUUCGUGCCAGCAGCCGCGGUAAGACGAGGGAUCCUAGCGUUGCUCGGAAUCAUUGGGCGUAAAGAGGGCGUAGGUGGCUUGGUAAGUCAGGUGUGAAAGCCCAGGGCUCAACCCUGGAAGUGCAUUUGAUACUGCUGAGCUUGAGUGUCGGAGAGGUUACCGGAAUACCUGGUGUAGUGGUGAAAUACGUAGAUAUCAGGUGGAACACCGGAGGCGAAGGCGGGUAACUGGACGAACACUGACACUGAGGCCCGAAAGCGUGGGGAUCAAACAGGAUUAGAAACCCCAGUAGUCC
Molecule: ribosomal RNA, 428 nt
Filed under: uncultured bacterium
Lineage: Bacteria
Description: partial 16S ribosomal RNA
Rfam family: Bacterial small subunit ribosomal RNA
Source: RNAcentral